GCGUAGACAGAGAAAAUGAAGCGAGAGGCUGUGACUUUGGUGCUGGUGAAUCUAGCUGGGAUCAUGGAGAGAGCAGACGAGUCUUUGCUUCCUGGAGUGUAUAAAGAAGUUGGUGCUGCCCUUCACACGGAUCCUACUGGACUUGGGUCCUUGACUUUGUUUAGGUCUAUAGUGCAGUCCUCUUGCUAUCCCAUAGCUGCAUAUUUAGCCGUCAGGCAUAAUCGAGCCCAUGUUAUAGCUCUUGGUGCCUUUCUCUGGGCUGCUGCUACUUUCCUCGUUGCCUUCUCUUCCACUUUCUUUCAGGUGGCUGUAUCGAGAGCUUUGAAUGGCAUUGGGCUUGCUAUAGUUGCACCUGCUAUCCAGUCCCUUGUAGCUGAUUCAACCAAUGAUAGCAACCGUGGCACAGCCUUUGGAUGGCUACAACUAACAGCCAACCUUGGUUCGGUUAUUGGGGGACUCUGUUCACUAUUGAUAGCUCCAAUAACAUUUAUGGGAAUCCCUGGAUGGAGGCUUUCAUUCCAUCUUGUUGGAAUAAUUAGUAUUGUAGUAGGAGUAUUAGUCUACCUUUUUGCCCGUGAUCCACACUUUUCAGAUGAUAAUGUGAAAGCUAGGAAUCAAGAUGCAAGUAAAUCCUUUUGGUNNNNNNNNNNNNNCUGUUUCAAGAAGCCAAAUCAGUUAUAAAAAUUUCAUCUUUCCAGAUAAUUGUGGCUCAGGGAAUUACUGGUUCAUUCCCUUGGUCAGCUAUGACGUUUUCAGCAAUGUGGUUAGAGCUUAUUGGCUUCUCCCAUGAGAAAACUGCAUUUCUCCUAGCAUCGUUUGUAAUUGCUGGUUCCUUUGGGGGCCUUUUUGGAGGCAAAAUGGGAGAUAUCCUUUCCACACGUUUCCCAAACUCUGGAAGAAUAAUUCUAGCACAGAUAAGCUCUGCAUCAGCAAUCCCUCUAGCAGCAUUGCUUCUGUUGGCUUUACCUGAUGAUCCAUCAACAGCAAUCGCACAUGGAUUUGUUUUGGUCAUUAUGGGGUUGUGCAUCACUUGGAAUGCUCCAGCUACAAACAAUCCAAUUUUUGCAGAAAUAGUUCCUGAGAGAUCCCGGACAAGCGUCUAUGCUUUGGAUCGAUCGUUCGAGUCCAUACUGUCAUCAUUUGCUCCUCCAAUAGUUGGAAUACUAGCUCAACAUGUUUAUGGUUAUAAACCCAUUCUUAAUGGAUCUACUGAAUAUGAAGAGAUUGAUACAGAUAGAAGAAAUGCUGCAUCAUUAGCCAAAGCUUUGUAUACAGCAAUAGGAGUACCAAUGGCCCUGUGUUGUUUCAUUUAUUCUUUCCUCUAUUGUACCUAUCCAAGAGACAGAGAGCGGGCUCAGAUGCAAGCAUUGAUAGAAUCAGAGAUGGAACAGUUGAUGUUAGAUGAUUCACCUAGAAGUGGAGAACACUCUCAAGUUCAGUUAUUUGAAGCUGAAGAACCAUCUGUUAAAGACAGAAGUGUUAUCGAAAUGAAUUAUGAGGGGGAGGAUGGUCUUGAUCUAGAUGCCGAUGAUGAGAAGAUGGUGCUUUACCGCCAGCUAACAUUCUCGAACUUAGGUGAGUAGCACAAUUUGAGUUUGAUAACGAUGACGAAGACGAGCAAUUAAUUAAUAGUUUCCAUGGCUGGUGAAAGUUAAAAGAAGAUGAAGCUGGCUUAACCUCCAAUGGCUGCUUCCUAAUAAAGCAUUUUGGCUUAUGAAACAACUCCAAAUUUCUUGGUUGGAUAUUGUUGGGAAUUUUUCUUAGUUAUGGUUCAUUAGAGUAGCCAUCUACGACUCUCUUGUUUUGGCCAUAAAUUAUUCAUUGGUGUGUGAUCAAUGAGAAUUACCGUAGGGA
Molecule: unclassified non-coding RNA, 1854 nt
Filed under: Hevea brasiliensis (rubber tree)
Lineage: Eukaryota; Viridiplantae; Streptophyta; Magnoliopsida; Malpighiales; Euphorbiaceae
Source: RNAcentral